Molecule: ribosomal RNA, 739 nt
Filed under: uncultured fungus
Lineage: Eukaryota; Fungi
Description: eukaryotic LSU rRNA
Rfam family: 5.8S ribosomal RNA (bases 284-437)
Source: RNAcentral
UCUUGGUCAUUUAGAGGAAGUAAAAGUCGUAACAAGGUUUCCGUAGGUGAACCUGCGGAAGGAUCAUUAACAAAGCUUGAAGUUCGCUCAACCGCGUCUUCAACAAAUCCAUCCACACCUUGUGCAAUAUUGACAUCGAGGCAAGUUCUUUCGGGAAUUUGCUGGUCUUGUGGGGGGAAAAACCUAAAGGAUAGGCAGCAAUGCUUAACCUUUAAGCCCCCCAAAAGUAUUUAACCUAUACGUUUUUUGUUUGUCUGAAACUUUUUAUUGAUACAAUAAAAACAACUUUCAACAACGGAUCUCUUGGUUCUCGCAUCGAUGAAGAACGCAGCGAAAUGCGAUACGUAAUGUGAAUUGCAGAAUUCAGUGAAUCAUCGAAUCUUUGAACGCACAUUGCACUCUUUGGUAACCCGAAGAGUAUGCCUGUUUCAGAUAUAAGUCACUAUGAACUCCGAGGGGGUGUUUGCCAACUCAGUUUUCAUGACUUGAACUUUCCAGACUCAUUACGCGUCUGGUGGUUUAAAAUAAAAGCAUGGACGGUCUCCUUGACUCAUCCGCACGCAAAAGUGUAAUACGAGCUGUCAAAGGCUUCAUUCACUUCUUGCUAGGACGUCAGAUGUAUCGAUUUAAUCCAUGGUCGCAGGAAAUCUGGGGACUACGCAAGUAGAACCUAUCCAUAGCGGCAUCUGAAAUCAGGUAGGACUACCCGCUGAACUUAAGCAUAUCAAUAAGCGGAGGA